RNAcentral lists this ribosomal RNA (1495 nucleotides) under uncultured prokaryote. RNAcentral's name for it is "partial 16S ribosomal RNA". It matches the Rfam family "Bacterial small subunit ribosomal RNA". The record is from RNAcentral.
AGAGUUUGAUCCUGGCUCAGAUUGAACGCUGGCGGCAGGCCUAACACAUGCAAGUCGAACGUGAAAGCUCUUCGGAGUGAGUAGAGUGGCGGACGGGGGAGUAACGCGUAGGAAUCUACCCAGUAGUGGGGGACAACGUUUCGAAAGAAACGCUAAUACCGCAUACGCCCCAAGGGGGAAAGCGAGGGAUCUUCGGACCUCGCGCUAUUGGAUGAGCCUGCGUAGGAUUAGCUUGUUGGUGAGGUAAAGGCUCACCAAGGCGACGAUCCUUAGCUGGUCUGAGAGGAUGAUCAGCCACACUGGAACUGAGACACGGUCCAGACUCCUACGGGAGGCAGCAGUGGGGAAUAUUGCGCAAUGGGGGCAACCCUGACGCAGCCAUGCCGCGUGUGUGAAGAAGGCCCUAGGGUUGUAAAGCACUUUCAAUUGGGAAGAAAAGUUCGUCGUUAAUAGCGGCGAGCCCUGACAUUACCUUUAGAAGAAGCACCGGCUAACUCCGUGCCAGCAGCCGCGGUAAUACGGAGGGUGCGAGCGUUAAUCGGAAUUACUGGGCGUAAAGCGCGCGUAGGCGGUUUGUUAAGUCAGCUGUGAAAGCCCUGGGCUCAACCUGGGAACUGCAGUUGAUACUGGCCGACUAGAGUACGAGAGAGGGAGGUAGAAUUCCAUGUGUAGCGGUGAAAUGCGUAGAUAUAUGGAGGAAUACCAGUGGCGAAGGCGGCCUCCUGGCUCGAUACUGACGCUGAGGUGCGAAAGCGUGGGGAUCAAACAGGAUUAGAUACCCUGGUAGUCCACGCCGUAAACGAUGUCUACUAGCCGUUGGGAGACUUGAUUUCUUAGUGGCGCAGCUAACGCAAUAAGUAGACCGCCUGGGGAGUACGGCCGCAAGGUUAAAACUCAAAUGAAUUGACGGGGGCCCGCACAAGCGGUGGAGCAUGUGGUUUAAUUCGAUGCAACGCGAAGAACCUUACCAGGUCUUGACAUCCCGAGAAUUUACUAGAGAUAGUUUAGUGCCUUCGGGAACUCGGUGACAGGUGCUGCAUGGCUGUCGUCAGCUCGUGUCGUGAGAUGUUGGGUUAAGUCUCGCAACGAGCGCAACCCCUAUCUUUAGUUGCCAGCAUUAAGUUGGGCACUCUAGAGAGACUGCCUGGGCUAACCAGGAGGAAGGUGGGGAUGACGUCAAGUCCUCAUGGCCCUUAUGUCUAGGGCUACACACGUAAUACAAUGGUACAUACAAAGGGAAGCGACCUCGCGAGAGUGAGCAAAUCUCAAAAAGUGUAUCUCAGUCCGGAUUGAAGUCUGCAACUCGACUUCAUGAAGUUGGAAUCGCUAGUAAUCGCGGAUCAGCACGCCGCGGUGAAUACGUUCCCGGGCCUUGUACACACCGCCCGUCACACCAUGGGAGUUGAUCUUACCUGAAGCCGUGGCCCUAACUUUAUGCAGAGGGGAGCGUCUACGGUCGGAUCGAUGACUGGGGUGAAGUCGUAACAAGGUAACC